RNAcentral lists this ribosomal RNA (504 nucleotides) under bacterium AWS2D. RNAcentral's name for it is "bacterial SSU rRNA". It matches the Rfam family "Bacterial small subunit ribosomal RNA", at positions 384 to 882 of the family's 1533-position model. The record is from RNAcentral.
UGAUCCAGCCAUCCGGCGUGUAUCAUGAAGCCCUUCGGGUUGUAAAGUUCUUUAGGCAGAGAAGAAAAGGUCUCCCUUAAUACGGGAUGAUAAUGACGGUAUCUGCAGAAUAAGCCCCGGCUAACUACGUGCCAUCAGCCGCGGUAAUACGUAUGGGGCAAGCGUUAAUCGGAAUUACUGGGCGUAAAGGGUGCGUAGGCGGUUCGGAAAGGAAGAUGUGAAAUCCCAGGGCUCAACCUUGGAACUGCAUUUUUAACUGCCGAUCUAGAGUAUGUCAGAGGGAGGUAGAAUUCCGAGUGUAGCAAUGAAAUUCGUAGAUAUUCGGAGGAACACCGAUGGCGAAGGCAGCCUCCUGGGAUAAUACUGACGCUCAGCAAUAAAGCGUGGGGAGCAAACAGGAUUAGAUACCCUGGUAGUCCACGCCCUAAACGAUGUCAACUAACUGUUGGGGCCCUUAGGCCUUAGUAGCGCAGCUUACCCGUGAAGUUGACCGCCUGGGGAGUG